UAGUGGCGAACGGGUGAGUAACACGUGGGCAAUCUGCCCUUCACUCUGGGACAAGCCCUGGAAACGGGGUCUAAUACCGGAUAACACUCUGUCCCGCAUGGGACGGGGUUGAAAGCUCCGGCGGUGAAGGAUGAGCCCGCGGCCUAUCAGCUUGUUGGUGGGGUGAUGGCCUACCAAGGCGACGACGGGUAGCCGGCCUGAGAGGGCGACCGGCCACACUGGGACUGAGACACGGCCCAGACUCCUACGGGAGGCAGCAGUGGGGAAUAUUGCACAAUGGGCGAAAGCCUGAUGCAGCGACGCCGCGUGAGGGAUGACGGCCUUCGGGUUGUAAACCUCUUUCAGCAGGGAAGAAGCGCAAGUGACGGUACCUGCAGAAGAAGCGCCGGCUAACUACGUGCCAGCAGCCGCGGUAAUACGUCNGGGCGCAAGCGUUGUCCGGANNGGUG
Molecule: ribosomal RNA, 449 nt
Filed under: Streptomyces sp. 303F09
Lineage: Bacteria; Bacillati; Actinomycetota; Actinomycetes; Kitasatosporales; Streptomycetaceae
Description: bacterial SSU rRNA
Rfam family: Bacterial small subunit ribosomal RNA
Source: RNAcentral